Manacus vitellinus (golden-collared manakin) is the source of this 198-nucleotide long non-coding RNA. RefSeq lists it as uncharacterized. Lineage: Eukaryota; Metazoa; Chordata; Aves; Passeriformes; Pipridae. The record is from RefSeq and is a predicted model, not a curated record. The transcript is spliced from 4 exons.
GGGAGCCUUCUCUUCUUGUAAUUGCUUAAAGAAAGCUGGAAUUGUGCCGGGGAGUUGCUCAGGAAGAUAGUGUGCAAAAGGGAUGGAAGAGAACGCUGGACUCUCAUUCUCCGAGUGCUGCUAAGCUCAGGACUCUUGAUCCCGGAGAUGAGGACAGGAUCCCAUGGGGCAGCCGCACUUCUCCAGACCGGUCAAUCC